RNAcentral lists this ribosomal RNA (615 nucleotides) under uncultured bacterium. RNAcentral describes it as "bacterial SSU rRNA". It matches the Rfam family "Bacterial small subunit ribosomal RNA", at positions 8 to 624 of the family's 1533-position model. The record is from RNAcentral.
AGAGUUUGAUUAUGGCUCAGAUUGAACGCUGGCGGCGUGCCUAACACAUGCAAGUCGAGCGGUAACAGGCGUACGAAUACAUGCUGACGAGCGGCGGACGGGUGAGUAACGCUUGGGAAUCUGCCUAUUAGUGGGGGAUAACUCGGGGAAACUCGAGCUAAUACCGCAUACGCACUACGGUGGAAAGCUGGGGACCGCAAGGCCUGGCGCUAUUAGAUGAGCCCAAGUCGGAUUAGCUAGUUGGUAGGGUAAUGGCCUACCAAGGCGACGAUCCGUAACUGGUCUGAUGAGGACGACCAGUCACACCGGAACUGAGACACGGUCCGGACUCCUACGGGAGGCAGCAGUGGGGAAUAUUGGACAAUGGGGGCAACCCUGAUCCAGCGACGCCGCGUGGGUGAAUGAAUUGGCUGCUGGGUUGUAAAGCCUUUCGGUGGGGAAGAAAUUGCUCGGCUUAAUACGCUGGGACUUGACGUAACCCACUAAAGAUGCACCGGCUAACUCUGUGCCAGCUAGCCGCGGUAAUACAGGGGUGCGUAGCGUUAUCGGAAUUUACUGCGUAAUGCGCGCGUAGGCGUUUGCUAGCUGAUGUGAAUCCCGGCUUACUGGGACUGC